Engraulis encrasicolus (European anchovy) is the source of this 1832-nucleotide long non-coding RNA. RefSeq lists it as uncharacterized. The transcript has 2 exons. NCBI's taxonomy places the organism in Eukaryota, Metazoa, Chordata, Actinopteri, Clupeiformes, Engraulidae. The record is from RefSeq and is a predicted model, not a curated record.
CACAUCAGGAGCCGGAGCUUUAGUGGCAGCGCAGAGGAGCAGGAACACUCCUGAUACACAGGGUGUGCGUGAGAGACAGAGAGAGAGCAGGAGUGAAAGUCCAACGGAGGAAGAAAGACAGAAAGACAGAAUGGCGAUCCCUCUCCACCCUUUCUCCUCGACCACGAGUGGAGGGGGCGAGCACAGCCAUGGAGGAAGAAGAUGGAGGACGAUGGGGACAGGUAGACAGACAGACAGCCCAGCGGCAUUCUGGGAUGGAGAGAGAGAGAGAGAGAGAGAGAGAGAGAAAACACACAUACACACACAUACAAGAGGACAGGAGAGCAACGUCAUGGUCCCGAUUCUGACACUCUCACCCUGCCCAAGUCCAUGCUCCCCUCAUAUCAGCAGAAGAUGAUCAGCGUCUCUUGAAGAGUGUAAGUUGUGAGACGGGGAUACGGAUGGGGGUCGUGCCUGCCAUGUGGGGGUUUGCUGUGGUGAAUUCUGGGAUGGUGUAUGUGUGUGCAGUGUCAGAAUGAGACCCCCUUCCCUUCUCCCACCCACUCUCUUUUUUUGUGUGCACAGAACUGAAACAUCUCUCGUCACUAGUAGACUGAAGCAUCUGUACUCACUGAUUGACUGGGUUUGUAGGGUGGCAGACUGGAUUUGUUUCAUUUCCCGUUUCUGUGCGUGGCAGUGUGCAAAUGUCUUUGGCUCUUCUCAUCGCAGUUAGUUCUGUGACACAUCAGGGGUUUAUGUCCUAAUUUUAGAACACCCAUUUGUUACGAUUCAUUAUUAAAACAUUGUUAUUGUGCCUAUUAUUGACACUACAAGAAGCACCCAUACUUUGUAUGUACCGUAUAUGCUCGUAGGUACAAAGUAGGGUUCCGAGAUGUAUAACGUAGUGGAGGUAGAGGUACUUUUACAGGUGUAAUAACAACACUAGCAAUAUAUUUCAAGCAUGUAAUAUCAUAUUACUAGUGUUGUAAUAACAGUCGUAACGUUACUUCUACUUCUAGUAUAGAAAAUGGAUACCUGCAUAAAAAGUCUACACACCCCUAUUCAAAUGUCAGGUAUUUGUGAUAUUUAAAAAAAUGACAGAAAGUAACUUCUCAACUUUUUCCACAUUUAAUAUAAAUUCUAACCUGUACAGCGCCAUUGAAAACAAACACAAAGCUUUAAAGGGGGGGAAAAAAACAAAAAAAACCAUGGUUGAACAUUAAAAGUUAACAUGGUUGCAUAAAUUAACAGGGUUGCAUAAAUACAUGCACACUCGUAAACUAAUACUUUGUUGCAGCACCUUUGGCUUUUAUUACAGAACUGGGUCAGAGUUUAUCAGCAUGGCACAUCUUGAUGCGGCAAUAUUUGUCCACUUCUCUUUGUAAAAGCACUCCAUAUCUGACAGAUUCUGAACUCUGCUUGGGCCAUUCCAAAAAUCUCAAUUUCAUUCUGGUGAGGCCCAUUCUUUUGUUGAUUUAGGCAUGUGUGUAUGUACGGUAAUUGUCGUUCUGAAAGUUUAUAUGAAUGUGGAAAAAUGUGUGCAAUUAUUCGUCUUUCUGUAAUUUUUCUGACAUCAUAAAAACUUGACAUUUGAACAGCGAUGGGUAGACAUGUAUAGGCACUGUACAUCUCGGGUAGGGUUCCAUUUGAUGACACUGUAGCCUACAUAUGGCAAAGAUGACGUCUCCAUUACUGUAGGGCGCAGUAGACAUAAGUGUGGUGACAUCACUCACAGAGCUCUAACCUGAUUGGGCUGUGUUAACAUGCCUAGUGUUGGCCUUAUUAAUUUUGCAUGCCCUAGAUCUGACAUUUAAAUGGAGCGUAAAGUAAAGAAAUAUGCUUGUGAACUCGAA